Molecule: ribosomal RNA, 859 nt
Filed under: Colletotrichum karsti
Lineage: Eukaryota; Fungi; Ascomycota; Sordariomycetes; Glomerellales; Glomerellaceae
Description: LSU rRNA
Rfam family: Eukaryotic large subunit ribosomal RNA
Source: RNAcentral
AUUGCCCCAGUAACGGCGAGUGAAGCGGCAACAGCUCAAAUUUGAAAUCUGGCCCCAGGCCCGAGUUGUAAUUUGCAGAGGAUGCUUUUGGCGCGGUGCCUUCCGAGUUCCCUGGAACGGGACGCCAUAGAGGGUGAGAGCCCCGUACGGUUGGACACCAAGUCUUUGUAAAGCUCCUUCGACGAGUCGAGUAGUUUGGGAAUGCUGCUCAAAAUGGGAGGUAUAUUUCUUCUAAAGCUAAAUAUUGGCCAGAGACCGAUAGCGCACAAGUAGAGUGAUCGAAAGAUGAAAAGCACUUUGAAAAGAGGGUUAAACAGCACGUGAAAUUGUUAAAAGGGAAGCGCUUAUGACCAGACUUGCGCCCGGUGAAUCACCCAGCUCUCGCGGCUGGGGCACUUUGCCGGCUCAGGCCAGCAUCAGCUCGCUGUCGGGGACAAAAGCUUCGGGAACGUAGCUCUCUUCGGGGAGUGUUAUAGCCCGUUGCACAAUACCCUUCGGCGGGCUGAGGUACGCGCUCCGCAAGGAUGCUGGCGUAAUGGUCAUCAGCGACCCGUCUUGAAACACGGACCAAGGAGUCAACCUUAUGUGCGAGUGUUUGGGUGUCAAACCCCUACGCGUAAUGAAAGUGAACGCAGGUGAGAGCUUCGGCGCAUCAUCGACCGAUCCUGAUGUUCUCGGAUGGAUUUGAGUAAGAGCAUAUAGGGUUGGACCCGAAAGAAGGUGAACUAUGCGUGUAUAGGGUGAAGCCAGAGGAAACUCUGGUGGAGGCUCGCAGCGGUUCUGACGUGCAAAUCGAUCGUCAAAUAUGCGCAUGGGGGCGAAAGACUAAUCGAACCUUCUAGUAGCUGGUUUCCGCCGA